RNAcentral lists this ribosomal RNA (407 nucleotides) under uncultured bacterium. Its description in RNAcentral is "partial 16S ribosomal RNA". It matches the Rfam family "Bacterial small subunit ribosomal RNA", at positions 30 to 526 of the family's 1533-position model. The record is from RNAcentral.
AUUGAACGCUGGCGGCAGGCCUAACACAUGCAAGUCGAGCGGAGCGACGGACGGGGGAGUAAUGCCUAGGAAUCUGCCUGGUAGUGGUGGAUAACGUCCGGAAACGGGCGCUAAUACCGCAUACUAUCAGAUGAGCCUAGGUCGGAUUAGCUAGGUGGUGGGGUAAAGGCCUACCAAGGCGACGAUCAGUAACCGGUCUGAGAGGGUGAUCAGUCACACUGGAACUGAGACACGGUCCAGACUCCUACGGGAGGCAGCAGUGGGGAAUGUUGGCCAAUGGGCGAAAGCCGGAUCCAGCCAUGCCGCGUGUGUGAAGAGGGUCUUCGGAUUGUAAAGUACUUUAAGUUGGGAGGCGUUACCAACAGAAUAAGCACCGGCUAACUUCGUGCCAGCAGCCGCGGUAAUAC